AUCAGCAUCCCCAGAACACAUCUGUAUUAAGUCACAGACCUUGGACCCGGUGGUCAUCUUCUUCAUCAGUGGGACCACAGGCCUCCCCAGGAUGGUGAAAUACAGCCAUGGGCUUACCUUACUAUCCUCUUUCCCUUCAUGGUAGGAAAGAAGGUACUGACAUAAAGUGCUGGGAUUACAGCACUGGGAAAUAAGCAUUUCAAACACACGAAAUGUAACUGAGGAAAAGUUAAAGAAUAUCUAGAUUAAUGGAGAAAUAGAUCAUGUUCACGGAUUGGAAGAGUCAGUAUUUUAAUGCCAAAUCUCCCUGAUUUGAUGUACAGAUUCAGUGGAAUAUCACUCAAAAAUCCCAGCAUUUUUGUGCACAUUGAAAAUGAUUCUCCAGUGGACACAGAAAAUCAAAGACCCCUGAGCAGCCAAAGCAACCCUAAAGAGAAGAACCCAGCUGGGGGAUUUCACUGCCAGACAGCAGAACUUGUUUUAAAGCUGAGGCAACUUAAGAUGCUGAAGGUCCGCACAGGGACAUAUUCUCAGACCAGUGAAGCAAACAGGAGUCCCAGACAGACACGAAGAUGUGGUCCCACCUGACAGGAGGUGCAGCUCGAGGAGUGCAUGGCUUUCAGUAAAGGGCGCUGGGCCAACUGCAUAUCCACAGAGAAAAAAUUAUCCGACUCCACACCUCAGCCCUGAUGCAGAUGAAUCAGAGAAGGAUCCGGGAUCAAAAUGUAAACGCGAAAGCAAAAAUGUCUGGAAUUUAAAAACAGAAAGCAUUUCUGCAGAGCCGGUGAGAGGCGGGUGGGCUGGGCCUGGACUGCCUGGCCUCCUUCCGUGCGGAGGCGAACCCAGAAGCCCCGCCGGAGCCGCGCGCCCUCAAGCGGCCCUGAAGCUGAAGAGGGGCGCUGAGCCUCUCCCCACCUCCUGGACCUGGCGGCGGCCUCUCCCAGCCUGGACCCCACCGGCCACCGGUGGCGGCCCAACCCUGCUAGGCCUGCUCCCCACCAAGCCCGGAAGCCUUCUGGCUGUGGAGGGCCGGAAGCGCGGCGCCUCGAGGCCUUCCGGCUGUGAAGGACAGGAAUCGUGGAACCCAGGACCACAGGACUGUGGAAGGAGUGUCAGCCAUGAACCUUGUGAUGGGUGUAUCACUUCUCCCCUAUGAAAGCCACAGAAACCAGGGAAGGAGAGACCCUCAAAAGAACUUGACCUGGCAGACCGCGCCCUCCCUAAGGCUGCUUCAACCACAGAGUCCCUGGGGUUGCUCCAUGAGGAAGCAGGACACAGGACAGGAAGCUAUAAGACCUUCCCACUGCUAUCCCUGCCCUCGCGAAUGGCCUUUGCACAGCCUGGGUGCUGUUUGCCAAUAAAACGAAGUGAAAACAACAUUUCAAAGCUAGCCCAGCCUUUGUGGCUGGCAGAUCCUUUUUGGCAGACAUUGGCAGGAUUUUGUCAGAAAGACCUUGCAGUUCCACACAGGCACAAGGAAAGUUCAAGGAGAGCAAAAGGCUCCCCACAGCCUGUUGCAGAGAUGGCCUGAAAGGCACUUGGGCUGUGUGAGCCCUGUGGGAGUAACCACUGAGCACUGGACCGGACCCAGAGGUCUGGACAGCUGAGGUUGAAGAGACAGGGAGAAGGCUAUGGCUCCAGUCAGCCUGUCCUAGAGGGUGGCUCACUGAUUCGGAGCAGCAAGCCUGGGGGCAGGGGGGACAUGGGAGUGAAUGCACACACCAGGUAGAGGAAUCUUAAUAGGGUUACUCCAGCUUUUGGGGUGGGACUUUUGCUGAAUUGACCAAUUGGUUGCCAUCCCUGGCCUGGGAAAACUAAAUCCCAGGUGCACUCCUCAGGCACUGGGACAGCCCACAAGCCCAGGGCUGGGGAGCAGAAGGCAGUUUAUGGUGCUAUUGACCACCCAGUUUCAAAGGGGUGUUCCAUAGAGCUGCCCAGCCUGCUCUCACCAUUCCUUCACUGGACUCCACCUCCCUAGCACUGGCUGCUCUAGUGCUCACAACUACAGGAGGGACAGGUGAGCUUGAAGGGAGUUUGAAAACAAAAAUGCAAGCAAUGGAAGGUCUUCCAGCUCAGCUCCAGUAAUGGGGGCAGUCCAGAGGGAAACUGAUGAAGGCACAGUGGCCAAACCCAGCACCCAAGGCCAGGACAACAACGUGUUGUUGAUGAAGAUGAGAAAGGAGGGGCAAUGUCCAUCUACAUCCCUGGUACCCCUAGCAAGGACUUGCAAAAGCAGAAAGAGGUGCACUGCCAGGGGUAAGGCCUUAAACUCAAGACCACCUGGACACGUAAGCCCACGUCAAGGUAUAGACAAAGUGCACUGAGAAUCCAGGUGCUUCAGAUGAAAUCAUCAUCUCAAGAACAGGACUCUGAUUAGAGCAAGGGUUUCAGAGGGCACCUCACUCUCUCACCAUAGAGGCCAGCACAAAGCCUGAACAAAGUGAGGGCAGCUGCCAUAGAAGCAAACCAGUCAGACACUCGAGGAGAUGGGGUAGUGGUACCCGAUUGAAGGGUCAGUGUAGAGACCCACCAUGAGGGUGGGGGAGGCACCUUGGCAACCCUCAAGUUGCCCACCCAUCAGAGACAGCCAACACUUCUUAAUAUCCCUGUUAAAAAUACAGAGAGGCAGGGGUUUUGAUAACACCAGCCCAUAUUAGCUCUUUAUUUCCUUCUCUAUGAUAUUCCCAAGGCCUAAAAAAGUGACUAAGUUAGCAAAUAAGUAAAUAACCACUUUGGCCAAAAAGGUGUUUAAGAUGAUUACAGUGAAUUUAAUUUAAGAAUUAAUUUUAAUUUAAGAACAUUUAAUUCUUAAAUUAAAUAUUAAUAAAAGGAUGCCACACUUUGCCCCAGGAAUAGGCCAGGAUGCCAAGACCCAAGACCACGCCAGGAGCAUGUACUCUGACCAAUGAGGGCUCAGACACUAAGCCCAGUGGUCUCUGAAGCAGCUACCAAGAGGAAAUCGUAACCCAAAUAUUGACAGAAAUCCCAGAGCCAUCACGAUGGGGAUGAGAGUGCUGAGGGACCUAGAAGACACAGCAUUGGGUAAUCAAGGAGAUUUCUUUAGAGGUAGGAGCAGAUGUGAGACCAUGAAGAGCUGACCAAUACCCCAGACUUUAGGUCAAUGGCUUUCCUAAGGAGGGCAUCCCACUGAGCCAUUGAAAUGCUUGAGUGGAUCUCUUUACUGGGUGGACUUAUGUUCAGAAGGAAUCAGGAUGUUGAAGGUUUACCACGCAGCUGCUCUGGAGCUGAGAUCACGAUCCAGCAUCCAAAGAUAAAGCAGGUAGUGCCUGGACAUGUCCCUGGACUCAGUCCUGUCCCCUGUGAUGCACCAAACAAUGAGACUAGGACCCAACUGGGCCUUCACUUGACCAAUGGAUGAUAUAUAGAUCUCACACUGUUUCAUGAAAGAGUCAAAUAUACAAAGCAACACCCAAAGGAGCCAAGAAAUCAAAGAAUAAGGCAGACAAACCCAAUUUGUCAGUAGAGGGUGAUUUAUUGGGAACUUAUGGACAGAAGCAUGGUCUUGGGCAGCAGCAAGACAGGUAGACCUCUGCACUGUUACCCCCAAGACCCAGGGCUUAUAUACUACAGAAAUAGGAUCUAUAUAUUCAAUAAGGAAUGUGCAGCACAAUUAAAGUCAACCUUCCAGGAAAAGACAAGAAUGCUACGUACAUCAUAGUCUGUAAUUUAUGCAAAACAUCAAGGUUGUUUCCACCUGAGGCAGGAAAUACUAGCUCUUAAAUGAGGAAUAGUGGAUAAAAAUAGAAAUUUUAGAGGCAUUCACAGACCUGGGGUUAAUCAGAAGUCAACAUGAUGGAUUAGCAUGCAAAAGCAUGCAAGUUGGAGUUGCUUCAACCUACACACACACUGAUAUAUUAGUGUGAGCAACAACAUGCCAGAUAGGGCGGUACAUAUGCAAACAGUAGAACACUGCCAGAAGAGACCAUUGCACGUCAGAACAUCACCAGGUUGUUUGAGGGGAUGCUGCAGUUACCACUGGAGGCCUUGCCAGUGACCACGUCCCGGCAUGUGGGAAAUGGCAACUUCUGCUCUGAUCAAGGAACUCAACUUAUCAUCCUCGAUGUGCAGGAUUGCCCCCCAUCUCGGGACACAACCUGAACUUUCUCCCCAGUAUACCAUCUGUAGCAGGCAGCAGGGUAAGUAAAAGAUGCAGUACUUCAAGAGACACAGACACACACCAGCACCCCAAUCUAAGCCGGAAAACAUAUUUUCUACAAAAGCAGGAGGAGCAGACAAGAGCCAUAAGUAGGUAGGAAGGGGGAUCAAUUCACCUUUCCUUAGUGGCAGCUCAGAAUGGGGAGUGGGUGUGGGCUGGAUGUGGACAUUACCCCCUUUUUUUUCAUUACCCCCUUGCUUUUCUUCACUUCCACAGCAGUGACUAUAGAAUCUGUGAAAGUGGGGCUCACACCACAUCUAAGGGAAUAGCACACUCUGGACAGACAGCAUCCCAUAAUCUCGAAGUCACCUUCCCUCUAGAAUGGUCUGGGAGAAUCUUGAAACCCAGCCCUGCCAAGGGAAGGAUGGGGGGACAUGUCAAUGACAAACAAAGCCGGACACUAGUAAAUGACAAGGACAGAUUUUUGCCAGUAAUGCACUAUUGCAAUCAGAAAAGGAGUCCAGCAUGAGCUGAUUUUGAUUUGUGCAGAGGUGACUGGGUGCUUUCAAGGGAGAAUGAGGGGGCCAGGUAUGGUGGCUCAUGCCUGUAAUCCCAGCACUGGGAGGCCGAGAUGGUCGGAUCACUGGAGAUCAAGAGAUUGAGACCAGCCUGGCCAACAUUUUUUUUUCAUCUCUACCAAAAAAAAAAACAAAAAACAAAAAUUAGCCAGCUGUGGUGACACAGCCUGUAGUCCCAGCUACUCAGGAGGCUGAGGUGGAAGAAUCGCUUGAACCUGGGAGGCAGAGGUUGCAGUGAGCCGAGAUCCCAUCACUGCACUCCAGUCUGGGCAAUAGAGCAAGACUCCAUCUCAAAUA
RNAcentral lists this long non-coding RNA (4992 nucleotides) under Papio anubis (olive baboon). Its description in RNAcentral is "lncRNA (ENSPANG00000042506.1)". Lineage: Eukaryota; Metazoa; Chordata; Mammalia; Primates; Cercopithecidae. The record is from RNAcentral.